Molecule: unclassified non-coding RNA, 399 nt
Filed under: soil metagenome
Description: partial contains 5.8S ribosomal RNA, internal transcribed spacer 2, and large subunit ribosomal RNA
Rfam family: 5.8S ribosomal RNA (bases 1-120)
Source: RNAcentral
GAUGAAGAACGUAGCGAAAUGCGAUACUUGGUGUGAAUUGCAGAAUCCCGUGAACCAUCGAGUCUUUGAACGCAAGUUGCGCCCGAAGCCUCGGCUAAGGGCACGUCUGCCUGGGCGUCACGCAUCGCGUCUCCCCCAAACCGCCAAGGCGGAGGGGAAGGAAGAUGGCUUCCCGUGCCUCACCCGGCGCGGUUGGCCUAAAUUUGGAGCCCGCGGCACUUAGCUCUCGCGGCGAUAGGUGGUGAACAAGGCCUUGGCCGUGCAAACAACCCGCUGCGAAGCUCUAUGUCACGUGCGCUCGUCGGACCCUUUGAAGUUACCUUCGGUGACUUAAAACCUUUGCGACCCCAGGUCAGGCGGGGCUACCCGCUGAAUUUAAGCAUAUCAAUAAGCGGAGGA